RNAcentral lists this ribosomal RNA (184 nucleotides) under uncultured bacterium. RNAcentral describes it as "partial 16S ribosomal RNA". It matches the Rfam family "Bacterial small subunit ribosomal RNA", at positions 1319 to 1500 of the family's 1533-position model. The record is from RNAcentral.
CAUGAAGCUGGAAUCGCUAGUAAUCGCGGAUCAGAAUGCCGCGGUGAAUACGUUCCCGGGUCUUGUACACACCGCCCGUCACACCAUGGGAGUCGGAAAUGCCCGAAGUCUGUGACCCAACCAUUAAGGAGGGAGCAGCCGAAGGCAGGUCGGAUGACUGGGGGUGAAGUCGUAACAAGGUACC